CAGUACAGGCUUGUGUGUGUUCCAGGGCAGGGCUGUAGAAAUGGAAAAUAUAUGGUCUUCCCCACUCCUUUCCAAGAAACCACACUGGGCCAGGCACGGUGGCUCAUGCCUGUAAUCCCAGCACUGUGGGAGGCCGAGGAGGGAGGAUCACUUGAGCCCAGGAGUUUGAGACCAGCCUGGACACUAUGACGAGACAUCAGAAAAAGAAAAAGAAAAAAAAAAAUCUGGGUGCUGGGGCCUGUGCCUGUAGUUCUAGCUACUCGGGUGGCUGAGGUGGGAGGAUUGCUUCAGCCUGGGAGGUGGAGGUUGCAGUGAGCUGAGAUUGCACCACUGCUCUCCAGCUUGGGCAACCAGAGCGAGACCCUGUUUCAAAAAACAAAUAAACAAACAAAAUCCAGACUGCUCUUCUAGACUGUCCAGAAAGUGACUUCUUGGAUAAACCCUUUCCUAUCUCUCACUGCUUUGUGC
RNAcentral lists this long non-coding RNA (468 nucleotides) under Pan troglodytes (chimpanzee). RNAcentral's name for it is "long non-coding RNA NONPTRT011786". The record is from RNAcentral. Lineage: Eukaryota; Metazoa; Chordata; Mammalia; Primates; Hominidae.